RNAcentral lists this ribosomal RNA (470 nucleotides) under Streptomyces diastaticus. RNAcentral describes it as "partial 23S ribosomal RNA". It matches the Rfam family "Bacterial large subunit ribosomal RNA", at positions 2462 to 2925 of the family's 2925-position model. Lineage: Bacteria; Bacillati; Actinomycetota; Actinomycetes; Kitasatosporales; Streptomycetaceae. The record is from RNAcentral.
GGUACCCCGGGGAUAACAGGCUGAUCUUCCCCAAGAGUCCAUAUCGACGGGAUGGUUUGGCACCUCGAUGUCGGCUCGUCGCAUCCUGGGGCUGGAGUCGGUCCCAAGGGUUGGGCUGUUCGCCCAUUAAAGCGGUACGCGAGCUGGGUUUAGAACGUCGUGAGACAGUUCGGUCCCUAUCCGCUGUGCGCGUAGGAGUCUUGAGAAGGGCUGUCCCUAGUACGAGAGGACCGGGACGGACGAACCUCUGGUGUGCCAGUUGUUCUGCCAAGGGCAUGGCUGGUUGGCUACGUUCGGGAGGGAUAACCGCUGAAAGCAUCUAAGCGGGAAGCCUGCUUCGAGAUGAGGACUCCCACCCACUUGAUGGGGUAAGGCUCCCAGUAGACGACUGGGUUGAUAGGCCGGAUCUGGAAGCACCGUGAGGUGUGGAGGUGACCGGUACUAAUAGGCCGAGGGCUUGUCCUCAGUUG